AUUGAACGCUGGCGGAAUGCUUUACACAUGCAAGUCGAACGGCAGCACGGGGCAACCUGGUGGCGAGUGGCGAACGGGUGAGUAAUACAUCGGAACGUGCCCAAUCGUGGGGGAUAACGUAGCGAAAGUUACGCUAAUACCGCAUACGAUCUACGGAUGAAAGCGGGGGAUCGCAAGACCUCGCGCGAGUGGAGCGGCCGAUGUCAGAUUAGGUAGUUGGUGGGGUAAAGGCUCACCAAGCCAACGAUCUGUAGCUGGUCUGAGAGGACGACCAGCCACACUGGAACUGAGACACGGUCCAGACUCCUACGGGAGGCAGCAGUGGGGAAUUUUGGACAAUGGGCGCAAGCCUGAUCCAGCCAUUCCGCGUGCAGGAUGAAGGCCUUCGGGUUGUAACUAGCUUUUGUACGGAACGAAACGGACGAGCUCUAAUACAGUUGUCUAAUGACGGUACCGUAAGAAUAAAGCACCGGCUAACUACGUGCCAGCAGCCGCGGUAAACAACG
RNAcentral lists this ribosomal RNA (506 nucleotides) under uncultured bacterium. RNAcentral describes it as "bacterial SSU rRNA". It matches the Rfam family "Bacterial small subunit ribosomal RNA", at positions 30 to 527 of the family's 1533-position model. The record is from RNAcentral.